Molecule: non-coding RNA, 30418 nt
Organism: Cricetulus griseus (Chinese hamster)
Lineage: Eukaryota; Metazoa; Chordata; Mammalia; Rodentia; Cricetidae
Source: RefSeq, a predicted model, not a curated record
GAAGAACAGCCAGUGCUCUUAACCUCUGAGCCAUCUCUCCAGCCCCCCCCCCUUUUUAAGUAUUUUUAAUCUGUUUUAGAAUUACUCUUUAGGGGAAGGGAGGUCCUCCUGGAUGUGCUAUACAAAUGUUUUCUUACUUUUUAUCUGGUUGUGUUUGUUCUCAGUGUUUUUGAUUCUGGCCAUACUAAAUUUUUUCUUUGAUUGAUUGAUUGGAUCAUUCUUUGUUUGCUUUUGAGACAGGGUCUCAUUUUAUCCCUGGUUGGCCUGGAACUCACUAUGUAACCCAGUUUAUUCUCAACUUCUGACAGUUCUCCUGCCCCAAGUACUGGGAUUACAGGUGUGAGUCACUAACUUUUCAAAUUAAAUUGUAUGUCUGUAGUCAGACUGCUUGAGUCUUUGGUCCUUACUGCCUCUAUGUCCUAGUGGAGUGCCCUGCCCCGCCAGGGCUGAGAACUUGCCAGCUCUCUCUCUCCCUUGGGCACCUUCGAGGCUGCGCAUUUGGAUCUUGAUAUGUUUGGAGCUUAUUCUUGUGUGUGCUCCCAGGUGGGGAUCUGAUUUAUUUAUCUCCAAAUGGCUGUCCAGUCCUUUAAUACUAUUUCUUACAAAGUCCAUUUUCCUCAAGUAAUUUUCACAUCUCCUUUAAUUGCACAAAGCCGCAUGCCUCCUUGAGACUAUUUUUGACUUGUGUGUGUGUAUGUGUGAAGUCCUUGGUCUGUCUGUCUUGUCUGUCUGCAUCACAUUUUCCAUUAUGGAGGUUUUAUGGUAGCAACUUGAAGAACAUAUCAUCCUGUCUCUAGUACUUGAGUGUUUAUUAGUUAUUCAAUAGGAAACUCUCUAUCAGUCUUCCACUUGGAAACUUGGUAUGUUUGUGAAAGUUACAAUUAUUUUCAUAUUUUUACUUACAGUGAACUGACAUUAUGUUUGCUUGUUCUGUCAGAAAAUAAGAACUCUUAGUUGGUUAAGUCUUCAUUUGUGCCUUUUCUGGAAUGUUUUAAAGUUUUCUUCUGAUGGAUUUUACACAUUUCUUAUUACGAAACUUGCCUUUUUUUCCACUUAAUAUUGUGCCGAGCAGGUCAGUACAUGUUGACCUAUUUUAUUUUGUAAAAUGAAUCCAGGGUAGUCUGCCAUGCCCUAAUUUGAUUUAACUUUGCCUCUGUUGAUGUAUGCAUGUUACUUCUGACUUUUCCCUUUUUCUAAGCAGUUAGAACUGAAAAUGCUUAUUCAUAAGCCAUCUGGAUUUGGGGGUAAUUACUGCUGCCAAGUUAUCCUCUCAAACCAUUUGACGAAGUCAUGCAAACUUCAGUGCAUAUGUAUAGGUCUUCAAACUUCCUUUUUGAAGAAAAGCACCAUAAAAAUUACUCCCAAAAGUUGUGUGUUGAUUAACAUGGAUAACAGACAGUAGCAGGGGCUGGGGGUGUGGUUCAGUGAUGCAGUGUGUGGGACACCCUGGGUUCAAUUGCCAGAGCACUACAAAUAAUAAAGGAGCAGAAAUCACAGCUUCUACCUUCAAUAACUGGAACAUAGUCUUGGGCAUGACAUUUAUAUAUAUUUGAAAGUAUGAAAAGUUCUCAUGUAAGGAGACCUUGAGUCGAGUUCAAAAGAAAGUAUUGCUGGGUCUAGUGACAGCACUCAAGGGGCAGGAGCAGGUGGAUCUCUGAACUUGGACUGCCCAGCAAGUUCCAGGUCAGCCAAGGGCUACAUGAUGAGACAUUGUUUUAAUAGCCUCCUCCUCCCAAAAGAAUGUACUGAACAUAGUUUGUUGUGCUAAUGGCAUAGGUUAAAUUGACCUCACUUUUCAGGUGACAGUAACGUCCUAGACUAAAAUGGUGUCUGUAUGCAAAGACAAGGGGAGGGCAGCAGUUGACCGAUGACUUUGAGGUGAGGCCCAAAGAAACACAGGUUUUCUGAAGGUAACAGAGCAUCCUCAGAUUCAGAGAUUGGAGUUAACAGAAGGCUGAUUUUCUUUAGCUGUGUGCUGGGGUGGGGAUUCAGGGGUCUCCUGAUAUUAAGUCACAAUGUUAGGUUUCAGGGCGGUGCCCCUCUGGUGCUGGUGGCUUGUGGAGAACUCAGUUUCUUCCUGAGAGCUGGCAGCGCCCCCCCCCCCAUGGAUCGAUCCUGUGAAACAAGGCAGGUGCUUCAGUGCCUUUUGAUUCCUUUAGAAAGCAUCCGCUGUUACUCUCCCCACAUUACUUUGAAACAAGCUGCAAGUCCAGCCCACGUUCAGGAGCAGGGGGACUAGGUUUCACAUUUUCAAGAGGGGAAUGUCGAAGAAUCUGGGAACAGAUUGUGAAACCUACACACUGUCCUGUCUGUUCUAAAAAGGAGGAGCGACGCUAACAUUUGGAAAGGGAAGAACACACUCCUCUCCCACCCCCAUUCCCCUGAUAUCUGAGGAAGAUCAAGCUGGUCAUAGUUAAAGGCAAAUUGAAGCGAUGGCUCCCAGUGUGGUGCUGAAGCCACCCGAGGGUCAUAGGUUCCGUUGAGGGCGGGGGGAGUUGGGGAGAAGUAGGGCAGGUGGAAGGAAGGAGGGAGAGAGGUGGCAGAGUGAUGAGCGAAUGAUGAAGAAGAGCAAGAUCAAGCAGGUCAGAACUGGCGAGGGGGCAAGUUCUGAGUGUAGCAUUCAAGGGACGAUUCACAUGGAGUUGAAAAUGCACAGCCAAGACCCAGAUUGAAACCUCUCACCAAAGAGGCCUUGCAUUGAGGGCCAGGCCAGGCGAGGAAUGGGGGCUGUAAUUGGGAGCAGGGUUGGAGAAAUGGUGAAGGCAGGAGAGAAUCCGGAGUGGUCCGAAGCCCUCAGGUAUUGGGGUUUGAAGACAGCUGUAGUGAAAGUGAAAGCAUUUGCCCGCAGGAUUGCGAUGGAGACAGCCAUUUUUUAAGUGGAGUAGAACAACUUUGGAAAUUGGAUUAUCACAUCUGCAUGGAUGCUCAACUUGGAAGGACAAGUGGCUGGCAUUCAGGGAGUUCCUUUCUUUGAUGUUGACAUGUAUCUUCUGUCUUCCUGAUUCCUUUUAGAACCACCCUGCAUCCCAGGGAUGGUGUCCUCACUCACUCUCCGGAACCUUUGAACCAUAAGUGAAAUCUGUUUACCUUCUUAGGCACCCCACACACACGUCCUGCUUCUAGCUGCCCUCCACUCUUCCUUGAAAUGUGUGUAUUACAUGUGUGCAUGCUCAACUCAUGUGGAGGUCAGACAAGAACGGUGGCCAUUGGUUCUCUGCUCCUAAGUGAGUCAGGUCACUCUCGGGCUGGUGGCUCCUUUGAAGGAAGGGGUAAGACAGAGGCAUUUAGCAGCCCUACAUUUAAUGUUGGUAAACAGGUAUACGCAUGUGUACCUUCCUUCCCUGUGCACACCUCCAGGAUAGCAGUGGCAUUGAGGGCUGGAGACUGACUGGAGAGGUAGAGCACACAUGGUGUAGAGUAUCUGUGGUUGACUGAAGUUGAGUAACACAGAGUUGCUUAUCUGAAGUGUUCUGAGGCAGAUGUGUCAGGGAUGGUUUGGGAACCCAGAAACCAGGCACAGUGGGGAACACAGUCUUCAGCCCAGCCUGGUCAAAUGUAUACUGUGUCCUCAUGCCCAGCCUGCUCAGGUAAUUUGCAGCUACCUUGCUUGGAGUGGUCUGGGCAUUCUGAGGUUUGUCUGGAGUCUUCUAGAAAAAAAUACACUGGGGAGAAACAGGGGUAGGUUUCUAAGGCACUGUGUGGCGCACUAUAGAGCUGGGGACUUUGAAAGUGCUUGGAGCUCAUGGCAGCAGGAAAGAAGUGAGGAAUGAGGCUGGAGAGGCCCUGGGUAGAAUGCCCAUGAUGAUGGGUCUUCAUUCCCCCUGCUGGUAGUGAGGAAUUGUGGGAAGCUUUAAAUUCAAAGGAAUGACUUAGGUUGGCUAGAGGACUUGAAAAGGUGGUGGCUCCUUGGAGCAGCCAUUGGGGGGAUUUAGAGAGAGCACGAGCGAACGAGAGAGGAAGUGGAUAUUUUCUAGUAACCAGGGCAUGGUAUAGGUUGAAGGCAGGGAAGUAAAGGAGUUGAAGAGUUCCUGAACUUUCUUUGAAAGAGUCUUCUUGCCCAGGAGCUAGAACUACAUCAUUCAAGACAAUUUAAGCUUCUUUUACAUAUCUGACUUUUUAAAAGUUAAUCACUGUGCGUUAAGAUGUAGUGUUUUCUGUCUUCACACCAACAGGUGGCCUCAUAUACGUUAGCUCUCCCUUAAGAUGACUCAAUGUCUGGCCUGUGGUGAUAUAUUAGUUAUGAUUUAUUAAAGCUUGCCCGAGGAUUCAGAAAGCAAAGCCAGCCUCAAGCUAUAGAGGUCAGGCAUUGGUGGUACACACCUUUAAUCCUAGGACUCAGUAUGUUUAAGGCCACGAUAACUACACGAAAUUGAUCCAAUCCUAAAAGAAACAGCUCACACAAAGGUGAUCUCAGCAACUGGGAUCACAUGUGUUUAACCCUAGCACUAGGGAGGUAGAGACAGGAGUGAUAAGGCUGGGCAGAGAAAGGAAUAUAAGGAGGAAGAGACAGGCAUUCAGAGCCUUUUGCCUCUGCGGGUUUGUUGGAGACAGGAUUAACAUUUCAACUGGGUUAGAGGUAAGAUCUAGAGGUCGGCUGCUUUGCUUCUCUGAGUCUCUGGGUCUUUUAUUUAUUGUGCUACAGUAGCCUUUUGUGAAGGGCUUGUUUCACUUUGCUUGGUGUCUUAGCAUGUAUCAGAAUUCACCUCAAUAUUGUUUGAGACAGAUUCUCAUUAUGUGGCCGGCACUGGCCCAGGACUCCCCAUUCUCCUGCCUUAGCCCUGCAACUGCUGGGGUCACAGGUGUGCUUUUAAGGUCACUCCAUUGUCAGCAAAUGUAUCCAGCCUCAUGACAUUAAACAGUUCUACUUUAGUACUUAGCCUUUAAAAACUUAAUCGGGGCCGGAGAGAUUGUUCCGUAAUUAGGAACACUUGCUGCUCUUGGUUUGGACCCAAGUUUGGUUCUCAGCACCCACAUAGAGACUCGCCACCAGGUGGAUCACAACUAGUUCCAGGGAACCUAGUACCAGCUAUGAUCACUGUAGGCAUCAGGCACACAUGUGCUCCACAUGCAUAAAUGCAGGUAAGACUUAUAAAAACAUGAAUCGUUAAAAGAAAAAGUUAGAAAUCAAAACAGCAUCAGACAUUUGCUCCAGAUGGAGAAUUAGUUGUGUAUAACCAAAGCAGCUCGGUCUUUGGUCUGUUGUGUGAUGUUUUUGUCGAAUUUAGUUCUGAUGUAGCUGUCAGAACAAAGUUGAGAGAUUUGUAGGGUAGUUUUAAGAAAGAAACUACUUCUUUUAAAAAGGAAAAAAAGUCGUUAGUUGAGGGGGGCAGGGGGAGGAGGGGAGGGAGAGGGACCUGGGAUUGACAUGUAAAAUAAUUUUCUUUCUAAUAAAAAAGGGGGAAAAGUAAGAGGUUCUAUCAAUCACAGAAAAGAGAACACCCCCCCCAAAAAAAAACCCAACUCAUUUUUAGGGCUUUCCACAAACCAAAUAUUAUCCAAAUAAUCUAUGUUCAAGCCAAAAGCUAUAAUCUGAGAAUUGCUAUGUUGAAGGGUUACUUUUUGCUUUAAAAACAAAACAUAUUCUCUGGGUCCCUCCAUACUGUGCCAGUGAAAGCCAUUUCUCUUUGAAGAUCUGAGAGUGAUGAGCAUGAAAUCCAAGGCUGCCGAAGUAGGCAAUCCUGAGAGAGUACCCAGUGCCAUUCUCUGAACUGUGGUUGCUCCACCAGGCCUGCUGGGAGGAAGCUGGGCCUUUGGUGUAGUUAGCAGCUGGCUUUGUGUGGGUGUCUCUGUUCAGUGUGCUGCUUUGGAACCUGUGAGAGGCCUGCUGGUUGAGAGUUUUAUCGUCAUCCCAUGACCAGUUGUCAGAGAGAACUGUGGUAUGAAGCUUGUUGAUUUUAGAGAGCUAUUCUCAGAAGCCCUUUUUGGAAGGAGAUAAAAGGCAGGAAGAGUACCAGCAGCCUGGCUCCGUCUUGAUGUGGAUGCUUUGGAAAAUGGUAAGUGGUUCUGUGGGACCAUCGAAGGGGAUCAGAUUACAGCCUACUGUAAAGGUAAAAACAACUAACAGUCUAUGACAGGGAUGUCACAUGUCCUGGGGUCUCCCUCCAAGCAGUCAUGGAGCAGAGAGAGUGUUUUCUCUCCACACUCCUCCUUCUCUGAGAUGAAGGUUGUAAAACUUCUAAUCUGUCAGUGGUUCAUUAGUUCAGUUUCUGAGUGACUAGCAGAUGCAGACUCAUGAUUUAAGGCGAUUGUCUUGUUGAGACUGAAGGACUUUUGAAACAGCUAGUUACCACCUCUGGUGAAGGCUGUGACGACAGCUAGUUAAAUUCUAAGUGUCUGGUGAAAAUUUUCUCAUCUUGAAAGUCAUAGGCAGAGAAGGACACUUGACCAAAGCCAAGGCAUGUAAACCGUAGUCACAUGGUCCUGUGCUGCUCUAUUGUCCCUGGAGAAUGCACAUGCCAUGGCAAAGGAUAUUUUUAUAAUAUGCAACUUAGAUGAUUCUUGGAGUCAGGUGAGUGGGUGAUUCUGGGCAGAAAAAAACUGUCUUCAGCAAGAAGUGAGAAUCCAUAUUGAGGAGAACAGGAGCUAAGAGGCCAAGAAUACCCUCGGGCAAGGGGAAGAUUGCAGUGGGAGGAGACUGAGAGAUGACGUGGUGGUGGUGGAGAGAAGGCAUUUAGUCUGAAAGGACUAGACCUGCUACCAACAGGAAAAGGAUUUCUCUCUACUCCAGAAUUGAGACUUGCUUGGCCUGGGACUGGUGGAGAUGGACUGACUCCUAGGGAUUGCUAGCCAUGGGGGUUCAGAAGAGCCCCCCCCCAUGUUAGGCCUAGCACAAUAAUUGAGCACUGUGAGAUUAUUGUGCUUAAAGCAUCCAGACGGAUAGGACUCUUAUUCCAGGAUGCAUGCUAGUGAGUUUUUUUGAUUUAGUCAAGCAAAUUAGUCUGUUACUUACUGCAGAACACCAAGUCAGUGUUUCUUACUAGCAGACAAAAGAGCAGAAAAUGUCCUCAUAGAUUUUGUUUCCUGCGUAUUUAAUUAAGAUAGGGUGACAGAACCCAAGUGUGAAACCUUCCCAGGGGGCUGGCAGGAAGGUGGUAUGUUUUACACAGCCUUCUGCCUAUAGAUAAAGUUACUAACUGGCAUCUCUCACAACAUUGCUGGUUUGGCUCACUUAACCGCAGUGGGACAGAGGGUCAGAACUGAACAAGUUCAUACAUCCUUUGGGGAUGGGAGGCCAGUGUGACAGGCAGAAUGGAGUGUCUACAGCUAUGGAGUUAAAAGGCGUGUAGUGUGCAGGAUAGCUGUGGUCUUGCAACUGAGUACAGCUCUGUGGUGCAUGGGUUUCAGGAACUCUGAUUUAGCACUGGCUUUUGUCUUCAGCGUCUGCAUUGUCAUUGGCUUUUAUGAAACCCUUUGUAGUUUCAGUUGGAGAUGGUAUCACUUUUGAGGGAAGGUCAUACCUCAGCUAAUACUCAAAGUCAAUGUAUUUAGUCACAUGCUAAACACAAGGGUAUUUACAUAAGUGUGAUACUACAUGCUUGGGGGGGGCUCUCAGAACAAAGGGGUUUCUGGGCUGGGGAGGUCAGUAAGUAGGGUGCUUGCUGAACAAGCAUGAGGAUUGGAGUUCAGUACCCAGAACCCAAGUGAAAAGUGGUGGUCCGCACAGAAUCUCAGCCCUAGAGAGGUGGAGACUGAUAGUUCUAUGGGCUUCACUGGUCAGCCUCUUAAUUGGUUAAGUCUCAGACCAAUGAAGGACCGAAGAAGGAUAUUGGAGGCUGACCUCUGGCCUUCACACACGUACACACCCAUGAAGAAGGAACCAGGUUCAGGCUUGCUUCUGCAUUGUCUGAUCUAAUGGGACAGGUAGAGAGGCACUGUAUAUCAUUUGGCGAUUGAGAGCUCGGAGGGUACAGUAGAUCCUGGUCAGCUUCAGAUCCUGGUGUUGACACGUGCCAAAUGUUUAAGUUUGGAAAAGGUUUUCCUUCACCUUAAAAAGACCCACAACCGGCACGGGCCAACAGGAAGAUCUGUGCCUGUGCCUUAGGGUGCCAGAGCCUAAAGCAGAAGGUGGUUGCAGUGGGGUUAGAAGCCCCAGUUUCGUGCCUCGUUUGUUCCAAACAACAGAACUAGCAGCACCAGUCUGUGAACUCAGUGCUUUCUUAGGAGUCCAGAGACGGUGACUUGGUUGGAAGUUUGUUGUUAGAGAUGAGGGUUGGGGUGUUCUCUGUGUGGAAAGGUCACCCAGACUCGAUGGCUCUGCCAGAGGCAACCCUGAAAGACAGGGCAGAGCUAGAACAAAAACAGACAAGUAGUUAGUAUUUCUCAUUUUUCCUUGAAGUUAGAGGUUGAAAUAAACUUUUCCAGAAAUGACAGUACCUCAACUCAUGCAUUCUUGUAAUACACACACUUGUUGAGCCAGUUAGCUGCUCAGACCGUCCAGGUCUGGCAUACCAUGGCUCAUUGACUUCAGGAGCCAUGUUGAUGGUUGACUGCCACAUUUGUCUGGUCUAUAAAAAUUAGAAGGUUUCAGGAAAAGUGAAUAAAACUAAUAAUAAUUUGACAAAUUAGAAAGAAGCAGCAGAAUGGCUCGGUGGCUAAGCAUACUUUCCGCAGAGGAGAUGCUAUGGGGUUGCUGCAGUUCCUCCUUCCAGAUCCCCAGGUAAAGUUCCUGUUGUACUGACCCUGGCUUAGAGCCAUAUGAAAGGGGAUUUUGGGAAUUUUUUUUUUUUAACCAAGCCAACCCCAACACAAAACCCCACAGUUAUGCUAUGAAAUGUAUUUUUUUUUACUUAUUGUUGUUUUGGUAACUGGAAAAGACAUGCAGAAUUAUUUCUGUUAAAAAUUAUCUGAAAAGUUUGUUGGUAUAUCAAAUAAAUUCGCAAAUACUUAACUUGAUUAUAUAAUUGUUUUCUCUCAGCAAACCUUAUCUACUUCUGAAAUGGCAUACUAGCUUAAGAAAUGGGACUGAUUUGAUCAUAUCCUCAUCUCCUGAAAGCAUGUCUUGUAAUUUGACAAUCAGUUUGAAUAGCAUUAUGCAAGGUUUUCUGAAAUUACCCUGUAUAGUGCCAUCUAGUGGUAAACAAUUUACUUGUUUUUGGACAGUAGUUCAUAUUGUACUUUUUGAUAAACUAUUUAUUUCACUUCUAAUCAUUAUUUAUUUAUUUUAUUUAAAGGGACUGUCUAAACCAAGUAUUUACAGAUGGAAGGACUAGAGAAGGAAAAACUAACUGGUUUUUCCUUGUACAGCAAUACAUGCACACAUAGCGAGUUGUCCUUUGUUUAACCUAACAACAUUUGGGCAUAGGCAUAAGACCCUUUUUUGUUUAUGAAAGCCAUGUGCUUGUUGCAGAGGUACAAUGUAAGAUACAUGCCUCGGCUUUGAAAUCAGGCGUGCGCAAGCCUGGUGUUCUAUAAUUGCUGUCUGCCAAGUGGUGUUCAGUCCCUUUUGUGUGUACCAGCUCAUUAACUAUUCACGGACUUUGAUUUCUCAUGAUGGGAUUUACCUUUGCUGCACACCCAACCCAGUGUGCAGAGCCCCUCCACCCUCUUGAUUGUGAUGAUAAUUAAAUUUUUGCAUAAUGCUCAGCAUUUACAUUGUGAUGACUUGAAAUACAUUAUUCGCAACCAAGUGGUAGGAUCCAUAGUUAGAUUUUCUCUCCAUCAUAGUUUUAUUUGUUUGUUUUUAAUUAGCAAUUGUGUUUGGGGGCAGGGUUUAUCUAGAUGUACUUAAGACUUUAUAGUCAUUCCUGAACUCUUCCCCAGAUAAUUAAAAAAAAAACAAAAACAAAAACAAAACAAAACAAAAAAAACGUUAUUUGUGGUCCUGUGAAACAGACACUUGAGGUUUUGUGUUGACCAAGUCACUCGGGGAUAACAGUUGCUAGCCAGCACUUGGCCACUGUGGCCCAGCAGUCUUUUGCCUAGUAGCUGUGAUGUCUUUGUUGCCUCCAAGAAAGGUUGUGGGUCUUAGGGUCUGGCUGGAAGUAGGGCCCUCUCUGUGUGGCGAAGGCCUCAGUCAAGCGUGAUGGGGGUUCUGCAAGGCGAAGGCACUAGUCACUUUUGAUAGUGACUUGCUAUAGAGAAAUAGAGUGGGUGAAUUUUCUGGGAUUGCAGUAGAAAGGAAAUACACAAGACAGGAACAAACUAGUUCAAAUCUUGUUUGAAGCCUUCCUGGGGAGGUAGCUUCUUGGGUCUGGUCAGGAAAUGGCAAAGGAGACACACACAGUGGUGUCUUCCUUGUCUUCCUCCUGGCUUGGUUUGCUCCAGCAGUAUCUGAGGUAUUACUCUUGGGAUCAGCAUUACCCGUGUAAAAGAAAGGAGACAAUAGGAGUCUAAGACGCUUAUGUUAUUUUAGUAGAAGUAUUGGCUGCAGAACUGUUUGUCUGUCCGUAAGACACAGAGGCUGUCAUUCUUCAUGGCGAGCACUAGGAGGCCACAGAGGCCCGACUCUGGACACAGGUUUCACAUAGGGAAGAAACAACAGCAAACCCUAGGGAAAGCAGCACUAUGCUAACAGCUGAUUAGCUAGUUUAAAGAGGUUGGUAUUUCAUGAUGCAAUGAGGAAUAGUCUGAACAUUGUUUUGUGAACACAGUUUCUUGGUUCAUUCAGCAUGCUGUUUGUAAAUAGGAUGAGCUGAGCAUUCUGUUUUCUUAGAAUGGUGCUUUGUAGUCAAACCUCUAGAUACAGGCCUGAUUUUUAUGCACAGAAGUUGGAUGUCUGAUGGACCAAACUCUCUCUGUAUUCCUCCAGUCCAUUGUGUGGAUUGAAAACAAAUACUUUCAUAAAAAGAAGCAGUUUGGGCCACAGGCAUUCUCAAAUCUUCUGGUUAACUAUCAGAUAUUAUUUCAAGCUUGAGCUUGUCCAUCCUCCAUUAAAUCAUUACUUCAUCAGGUGGUUGCUGAGUGUCUUUGGUCUCCAGGCCCUGCUGGCUCCUCUACUGAUAGCACGAAUACCUCCCCCCCUAAAGUUUUACCUUUUUGAUUUUAAAGGUAAAUGAACAUGUAAUGACAUAAUCCUCUUUAUUUCCGAGUUGCCUCCUUUAUUCACUACCUGUACCACCUCUGUUACCCUGAUCUCCUGGCCUAUGUAUUAUUUUAUCCGUACUAUAAUGAUUUCAUGUACCUGACAUUUCUCUUUAUUAAAAUUGUAAAUGGCCGAAUGGUGGUGGUGCAUGCCUUUAAUCUAACCAGCAUUCAGGAGGCAGAGGCAGGCAGAUCUCUGUGAGUUCGAGGCCAGCCUGGUCUACAGAGUGAGUUCCUGGAUGGGCUCCAAAGCAAUACAGAGAAACCCUGUCUCAGGAAAAAAAAAAAAAAAAGAACAGGCAGUCUUUUAUUUUCUAUGUUUCCUGGUAGAACAAAGUGUAAUAGUAAACAGAGGAGAAUACUUUCUUAUCAGUAGCGUGUCCUUUGGGUGGCUUUCCAAGCAUCCUCAUCCCUUCUCCCAGUCUCUCCUUCUUUUCUCCUUCUCCCCCCCUUUCUGGUGUGUCAUAUUUCUGAAAGGGGUCUUGAAGGUAGCUCAGUUGAUAUGGUGUUUAACAAGGCUUGAAUUCAGUCCCCAGAAACAAAGCCAGGAUGGAGGUUUAGGCUGCUGAUCUCAGCAAGGGGAGGGGUCGGGAUGAGGAACGACACUGGAGGUUGUCCUCUGAUGUCCACACACACAGACUGCUUGCACACACAAGCACAUGCGCACACACAUAACAUACACAGAAAAAUUUGAAAUAAUGAGUUUUCUGGAUGCUUUGGCAUUUGUCCUUAAUGUUUUUUAUUUUUCACUGUUUUAUAUAAACCUCUGAUUUCUGGGAGGCAGAUUACCCGAUUUCUCUUCAUGGUUUUAAAGGAUGUUUUGGGGUCUUUUCCUUAGUAAUCUUAGGGUGCACGUCUUCAAAGACUCCGUACAGAUUUUAAUUAAAGUCAGUGAGUCCAAGGUCAAGGAUGCUUGGUUACUGACCUCUGUUUAUGGUAUUAGGAGGAACUGCAUGUGAAUUCUGAAUUCUUGAUGUGAUGUAACUGUGAGUUCCCUAGGAGAUGCAAAAUGGGUGUGGGACUUUGGUGGGAACUCAGAAAUCUGUCCAGGACCAGCAGAGGACACACUGCUUUCGGUUUGGAAUAUGAGGCUUCCAAACCAGCAUGUUGUGUGUCUCCACCCUUGAGAUCUUCCUUUGCUCACUUUCUUAACGCCAGAGAGAUUAGCUCCUGGACAGACAUGUGGACUCCCCCACCACCACCACCACACACACAGAGAAGUACCUGAAACUAUUCUGUUCCUCUGAGCCCUGUGCUGGCACACUGUACUGUGUUCCAGGAUUUGUGAGCAGGUGGCUGUGUGUGUGUGGCCUUUGGUAAUUGGGUAGCUCACAAUGUGGCUUGAAUUCCCACAUGGGCAGUGUGCAGGAUGUCCAAACAAAACACAGAAAGGCAGUGUUCACUGGAGCUGACUGACCUUUGCAGUUCUCACCACACUCAAGUUCUGAUUUUUAACCAUUAGUAGAUGAGUUACAUUUUCACGAACUGUAGAUAAUAUUAAUUUGGACAUGAGAUAGCAUAAUAUACUACCUUUUUUAAAAACGUCAUAUCUCUGAAUCUGUUCUGUUUUACUGUGUAGACUUGGCUGGUUUGGAACUAACUAUAUAGGCCAGACUGGCUUUGAACUCAUGAGAGGUUGGCCAGCCUUUACCUCUUGAGUGCUGGGAUUAAAGGCAUGCAUCCCUACACCUAGCAUGAUACAUAUUAAUUAAUAUAUAUUAAUCUCAAAAUGACUAUAUUCUACCACAGACUUGUACUGUCCAAUGGGUAGGUAUUUACUAUUAAGAGUUGACUACUAAAGUUCAGUCUAGUUAAAAAUCCAUGGCCACAAUAUAGCUCAAUAGUAAAGUAUGAGGCCCUCGAUUAAGUGCACAGUCCCAGGCAGUCAGUCACUUCUUAGUUACUCUAAGCCGUAUAUGGCUACCAUAUUUGAUAAUUACAUAAUUCUUUCAUCAAUCUAAGAAUGUGAUUGUACAUUGUCUGGGUUUUAUGUAUCAGAGUUUUGCAUUUGUGCUGUACAUAUCAUAUCCUAUAAGGAAGACUGGAUAAGCCAAUCCGAAUAUCCCCAGGGAGAGUUCUGAAGACCCCAGUGUAUUGUUUAUAUGAUGAUGGGCUAGAAAAGUUACUUCUCAGGUAAGUACCAGGACAAGUCAUGCUUACCCUGAGACUUACAUCCCAGCAUCCCUAGGGAUAACUUUGCAAUCAGUUUUCUUUGUUGUUGAUGUUUUUUUUUUUCUUUGCCUUAUCUGGGAAUAUAGAGCCAAAGUUACUGAACAAUUGAAGUAGCCCCCUGGCAUGUAGAUCUGUGUGCUUUGUUCCUUUCUCUGCAGUCUCUGGGAACACCUGCCAGAAAGCCCUUUAGUUGGCUUUUCCAAAACACUUUAAUUUUCAAAAUAGUAAUUAAAGAACUCUCAGUGAUGGAGUUGACAGAACCCUUCAGGCCUUUCAGUGUUGCUAGGGAAAUUCAGCUGGGAGUCUAUUUGUGUCUUAGUCAAGCUGUGUAGACAGGGCUUGAAUAAGGAGGCUAGUGGGCUGUCUGGUGUCUUUUUAGAGGAAGGGGGUCCUUGUGGACAACACAGAAUUGAAUUCUUAGUUACCCUUUCUCAGUGGAGAAACACUCUCCUCUUUUCCAUUUUAUUCUGAAACUUACAGGCCAUUGUGAUACUUGUACAUUUCAGGCCAAAGAGUAAAAUAAGUUUUAAGCCGUACAUCAAAGGAAAGUUGUAGAGCUAGGCAUUCUAUUGGGCAAAGUUGUCGAAUAUAUUCGAUUUGGGGCUUUCUAGUUGCUGAAGUGAGAAGGAAAACAGAGCUGCCUAGUUUGUGUGUGUUGACAGCCAGAAGCUGGUAAACAUCUGCAGAAACCAAGCGUUUCCUGGAACUAAACUCAAGCAGACAUGCGUCACGUGGACCUUUGUUUAAAGAGUCUAGUGAAGAAUAUCUUCAACCACAGUUACAUAACAGGUCCAGGAGCACAGUGCAUGUGAAUUGGGUUCUCUUGGGGGUGACCAGGAAGCCCAGGGUGUGCCCUUACAAGGCAGGUGGGUGGAAAGGAGCUCAGGGACCUGAGGCCAGGGCCUGUGCUGUUUGGAAAUUACAGGAGAGAACUUUAGACAACGGAUUUAUUUUUCUGUGGGAUAGGAGAUCUUGCCAUUGUGGCUUUUCCAUAGCAUUCCUUCCUCUUCGCUCCCAACAAUCACUCCAAUGCAGAGAUUUUGUUUUGAUGAUUAAAGCAAAGAGCAUUUUUCGUGGACCCCUAAGGGCUGGCCUUUGCCUUCACAGAAGUCUAGUUCUCUUCAGAGUAAAGGGUGACAAUAGAAUCUUCAGUCUUUCAAAACUUGUAUCCAUCCAUUUUAUUUUUUUCAUUUAGGCUUUUGUAACACAUUAGCUUAACCGUUCAUAACUAAAGUGAUAGGACAGAAACAGUCUUUUCCCCCCUUUAUGGGGGACAACUGUAGCCAGCUGCCCAUCUGAAAGAGUAUAAGAGAAGACCGUGCCCUCUCUAGAGUUGGCUAGGUAUGGUGAUUUGAAUAAGAAUGCCCCCCCCCCCCCGUAGCUUCAUAUAUUUGAAUGCUAGUCAUCUUAAAAGUGCAGUAGUCCUAUAACUGUGCCUUGAAGCUUAAUGGAGGAGUUUUGGGUUAAUGUUGUUGGCAGAGGAGAUUUGAAAAUGCCCUUAAGAGAUUAACAUUAUCCAUGGUCUUUUGUGUGGUGUCUUCAGAUGAAGGAAGGGACUAAAGUGCUCUGGGCCCUCUUUCAGAACGGUACCAAUCCCGGUCAUGGGUGAUACUCCAUCCUCAGGUCAUGAUCACUGCCCCAAGGGCUUGCCUCAAAUUCCAAAACUUUGAGAGUUUUCCUAAUGUGGAGGGUACAAACCCUGGCCUAUGAUAGCAGUGGCUACAUUUUUGGUGAAAGCAGCAUUUCUGGAAAGACCCUCAUAACUAUUUUAUUCUAAUAGUUUUAAUACAGUCAUGUGAUAAUUUUGGUCUAAUUUCAUUUUCUCUAGCUACUUAGAUACACUUUCUAUCUGAAGAAUAUACAGCACCUUCCAAUGCACCUUAAAGCAGAGACUACACGUACAUCAACUACUUGUUAGAAUAAUUUCAGUUCAGUCUGCUCCCUAGGGAGGGAAUUGUUGAAAUUUGGAGUUUGUUUUGAGCUUUGUGGUUUUAUUAUCAAUUUUUUUUAUUUUUUAGCGUUUUGGAAAUUAGUUCAAAGCCAUUGGAACGCUUCAGAUGGAACAUUUUUAAGCAAUAAAUCCCAUUUCCAAAAAAGAAGAGAUUGCCAUUAGUCUCAGAGACUUGGAACUUCAGGCGUUUUGGAUAGUGUUGAGACUGGGGACUUUUGAAAUUGGACUGAAUGUAUUUUGCAUUAUGGUACGCUCCAACUUAUGGAGCCCAGGGAGUGGGUGGAACGUGGCGGUUUUAACAAGAACGGCCCCUAUGGGCUCAUACUUUGAAUGCUAGCCACCAGGGAAUGGCACUGUUUUGAAAGAAUUAGGAGAUGUGGCCUUGUCGAAGGAAGCGUGUCACUGAGGGUGGCAGGAUUUGAGGGUUCAAGAGUCCAUGUCUCCCUGGGCCAAGGAUCAGGGUGUAACUCUCAACUGCUUCUCCAGCACCAUACCAUGCUGCCAUGCUUCCCGCCAUGAUGAUAAUGAACUGAACCCCUGAAAUUGUGAGCAAGUUGCAGUGGCUAAGGCUCUAGGGUACUGUACUGGCUGGUUUUGUGUGUCACAAAUAACCUCUGUGAAAAACAUUUUGGCUGAAGCAUUGACUGUUCGGAGUUAAACAUGGAGCAGGCACAGCCUCCAUUUAAUAGACCAUGCCUUGAGCCUGACAGGUUCCCCAACAGGCGCAAAGGGCACUUUCUUGUUAGUGUCAUCUGGGGAAGGGUCAGCUGAAAAGGUUAGUGUUUUCAGGUGAUUGACAUGAAAUUAAGCUUUGAAAAAGCACUUGUGAAAAACUUAAUAAUGAGAUCACACGACUUUUUUUUCUAGAAAAUACAGUGAGACUCAUGUGAGAGAAGACAGUUUUCUGUUAAGGGAAACAGUGGUGGUGUAUUACAGUGCACACCCAGUCUGUGAUCUUCAUAGUGUUCGCAAGUGUGAAGACAACUUUGCAACAUACUCAGUCACUUUUGUACUUUAAAAAUAAGCCCAAAGUUUCAAUCCAGCGUAUCAGUUAGUAACACCUUAAUUCUCUUUGCUCUGCUGUCUCUUCUCUGUCCGCCUGCCCUAUUUUUCUCCCUCCAUCUUGAAGACAGGACUUCUUACUGAUCCCAGGUUGGCCUGGAUGUAGCUCAGGCUGGCCUCCAAAUCAUGGCCUCUCACUUCCCACCUUCUAGACACGCCCCUGUGUCCAGCUUCAGUCUUUUGAAUGUCAACCCUCUGACUGGGGAGAUUGAUCAGUGGUUAGGGCACUGGUUGCUCUUGCAAAGGACCCGGUUUCAAUUCCCAGCACCCACAUGUCAGCUCACAACUCUCCGUGACUCCAGUUCCAGGGGAUCUGGUGCCCUCACAGAGACAUGAAUGUAGGCAAAACACUAAUGCGCAUAAAAUAAAAAUAAAUGCUGUCACUUCUGAAUCAAAAGUGUUGUUUCAUAGGUUGUAUGGCUAGAAACAGCAGAUUUUACCUAGUGAAGGGUCAGACUGGGAAAAAGUGACCAGGUAGGGCUACAUGAUGUGUGUAUUUUAAUGUGUCAGCCUAGGCUUGUGCUGGAAGGGAUGUCUUAAAACAGAAAGGACAUAAUUAAGCACAAAAGAUGGCUGGGUUGUGUCUCCCACCACUCCAGGGUUAUGCAUUAACUUGAUCUGAGCCCUCACUUUAGCAAACACAGAAGGAAAAUAAUGAAAUAGAGCUGAUUUCCUGCUAGGCUCCUGAUAGUUUCAUCUUGGUGUAUAAUACAGCUUCUUUUCUCCCACAGGCAUUUUGUUGCUUCUUAGGGUUAGAAGAACUGAGCUAGCAAGAGUCUGUACUGUCUGUGCCUGACAGGAGAAUUUUCGAAAAGCUCAGAGCCACUGGUUGCACAAAUACCUGACUCCAGUAGCUCAGGAAGACUAUCAAAGAUGGGAAGUCAGCCUGCAAGCCCGAAGUGAGAGCUCACUUGCAGUUCUCCCUUUAGCCUAGAGGUUUCCUAGGCAACCACUUAAGCAGUAAUUAAAGAUGAAGAACUAAAAGAAGCCCUGGAACUGCUCUUUCUACUUGGUCUCCCUGCCCUCAUGUUGUCCACACAGCAGCCGGAUCUUACAGUGCCUUCCCAGAAGACCUCUGUACUCUGCCACUGCAAUAAAAGCCACAGGCUCAUAGUGCCGUAAUGUGAGUUGCUCGCCAUAGCUAGGGAUGUCUGUCCCAAAAUGUCCUCAACCUUCUUUUGUAAGCCUUUCCAAGAUCAUGUGGCAGUUCCUUAAUAAGGUGUCCCUUAACUGCCGGGUCUGACCGCCCCACUCCAGUUCACUUUUCUAAAUGACACUGAAUAUCACCCGGUGUGUUUGUUCAUUGUCUCUUCCUAGAAUGUCACCUCCUCCCAGUGCAGAUGUUGUCUUCAGUGUGUGUCUCUGAUGUCUAGAAGUGAGCCUGACCUAUUUUACACGCACACAAAGAUUGAAUGCAAUUGACUCUCUAACCCCAUGUCUAGAUACAGAUUUAUAAAUGGGUGGCGUGUGUGUGUGUGGGGUCUCUCUACUAGUUUGGUUUCUAAUCCCCUCACAUAAGAGAACUGAAAUGUAAAUGUGUAAAAAAUAACCACAGCUGUGAACCAUUUAAAACACUAGGCAUCCAGUUAAGAAAUGACAGUUGUUGAUUUGGGAGGCAAGUGGGAGGCAAACACAGUGGUCCCUUGCAGUGGUCCUUCGUGUCCCGGGGAUUUGAGAAAGGCAGCAGCAGGAAGGCCUUCUUCUGCAGUGCUCACACUUCUCACUGGCAGCCCCUGAGCUGUGGUGGCACCCUGAAGUGAACUCGGCCUUUUGAGUAUGUUUCCCAUCAUUGUACCAGCUGAGGACGUCCUUGGCCAAGUGUGUGUUUUCCUUUUUGUUGAUGGUGUUUCUUAGUAACCUCUGCCAGAGGCCUCGCUGAAGAAUUGCUCCUCAAUCGUCUUGAACUUUGUGCUCUUUCUCCUUUAUUAGCUUUAGGUUUAUUUUAGCCAUAGAAGUAUAGGAAACAGCAGUAACAAUAAAAAUUGAGACAUUAACAUACAUAGAGCCCUUCUGGCUCCUGGUUAUCUUGAAGUAAGGGACACCACAGGGAGGUUGACACUUGGUCUUCCCUGUUGGGGUGACGGUACAUUGGGUUCUAAUGGUCCUACAGCAUCAUCCAUUCAAGAAUAGAUCUGCUGAGCCCCUGUAGUAAACUGUGCCAAUCAAAUGAGCAGGUCCACCUCAGGGGCUGUGGUUUUUGUGAGAGAAGGUUAAAGAGAAAACUGCAGAGGGAGCAGGACCAGAGUGGGCCAAGUGUCAGCUGUGGUGCUUAUCCGAACAUCCAGGGUAAAAAAGUAAGUAUGCUUGAAUCCCCGUCCGAUUUAUGUUUUAUGGCGUUUCCCCAAGACAAGAAACUGGGAGGGAAUACGAGCUAGAGGCGUGUUCUCGUUUGUCCAGGGGAAGGGCAGUGGCAGGAGGGCCUGGGCUAGAGCAGAAGAGAAGGGCUGGGUUGUUAUUGUGGGUGGCUCCAGCAGGCUCACCAGACAAUUCCAAGGAUGGGUCCUCUUCUCCAAACUGCCAUAAGAUGGCCGUGUCAAGGAGCUACUUGGGUACUGACAGAACAGGAACUAUUGACCAAACUAGGCAGAGCUGCCUGGGGGUUUUGAUAGUCUGUUUUUCAUUACAAAUGAAUGCUGGAUGUUAUGACCUUGUUAGUGUGUUAGGAGCUUCUCUAUUGUGAGGCUUGCUUCAGCAUCCCACCACAGCUGGGACUAAGACAUGUGAGAAACCCUGGAGAAGGCGCCUUUGGUUCCUCGCUAGUCACAAACUUCCCAGGGUAAAUGUCAUUCGAUCCUUGCCUCAACAGUAGCAUUCCUUUUCGACAGACACUUUUUCUAUUGUGUUGAAUGUUUAGGUAACUCUUAAAACUGCAUAGCUGCAGUUACUUUAUAGGGUAGAGGGUGAGGUGCCUACAAAUGAUCUUCAUAGGCAGGGUGACUUGGGAAAGCGUAUCAAGGGCUGGCAAAAUGGUUUAACCAGUGAAGGUGCUUGCCUCUAAACGCAAGGACCUGAGUUCAAUCCUCCAGCCCCCCUUGGUUGGUGGAAGGAGAAGACCAACUGUUGCAAGGUGACCUCUUCACAAGCCCCUCCCCCACCCCGAUAUCGUUAAAUGUAAUCAUACCAAACAGAAGGACCCAGAGUGAGGAGAACCUCCGCUAAACCCAAAUCAUGGUGUCACAUAGUAUUCUUUGAAGCCACCAGAUAACUUGUUUUUAAUGUCCUUAUUACUAGUCAAUGGGGAGAUAGUUUUUUAAAUGGGUAUUUUUUCCCUUUAAUUUUUUUUUUAUGAAUGCAAUAAAGAUAGACAGCCUGAAAUGGUAAAUUAAGGUUCUCCUGAGUCUGGGAAAUAUUAAACAACCAUCGAAAACUUGUUGGUGCGCCGUUGUGAACUCUUGCUAAAAAUUGUGUCCUCAUCUUUUGCAGGGGGAAAAUGGUAGCAACUCUGGCCCUUUUAACGGAACACAGGAAAUCACCAACAACCAGGCUGUCUUGCAAAAAAAUAACGCUCCUGUCUCAGCUCAGGAAGCGGGCAGGAAGCUCAUGAGGUUCCCAGUCAGGAUGCAAAGACCGAGGCAGCCCUGGAGCUCCAGAUACCCAGCCCAGAAGUCACAUCACCAGCAUGUCAAUGGCUUGUGGACAUAGUCAUGGGAUAAGAAUGGACGUUAAUACAGAGUUAAGGACCAACACUGCAGCUGACUCCUUCCUUCUCUCUGUGAUGUGAGUAAGAAGCCACAUUUAUUGCAGAAAGGUAAGGGAUUCGGUCGCUGCAUUUCAGUCUGCAGCACAGAGAAAGGUGGAUGUGCUGUUAGCGCUUCUGGGAAGAGUGGUGCAUGCGCCCUGGGGCAUGAAACAUAAAGAAGUGAGGCUAGACCUGAGGUAGCUUAGGUUUUCUUUCUCGCAGCGUCAGCACAAUUGUGCCGCUGGUGGCUCUGCGACUAAAAGCAUGUCUUGAGAUGCUAAACUCCAUGACUCAAACUACAUAGCGGGCAGCUGACUUAAUUUUUUUUGUGUGUUGUUUAUCUGUAAAACAAACAAUGUUAGUGUCAUCUUUAUUGGACUACUGAGAAGAUGAAGGGAGUCAGUGGUAUGUCCAAUGUAUAGAACAUUCUGUGGCACAUAGCACGUACUGUGUGAUAGCUGCCAUAACUGUAAUUUAAUCCUGCUUAAUAAUUCACAAUUAACACUAUGUAAUGGAAUUGAAGUAGAUUUUUCUUGUUGGGUUUUUUGUUGGAGUUUUUUGUUUGUUUUGUGUUUUGUUUGUUUUUUAGCUUCAUCUUCUCUUAACAUCCACUAGGGAGAAUUUAUACAGGGUGAUUGACUGAAUAAUGACUUAGAAGAUACCUUUAGGAUCAGCGUUUAGCAUAGUGUAACUUGGUUUAUGGAUUAGUUCCCAAGAUAAGAAGGAUGGCAUAGUUCAGUUCUAAUUAAUUCUACAGGUGAUACACCCACUUCAUUUCAAGCAUAAUUUCCAGCCUUUGAUAGUAGACCAUUUUCUUUCCCAGAAAGGAUUGGAUUUACAACGUGGGAAAGUACAUGCCACACACACGCAGUUACGUGAGAGUGAUGAGCGCCAGCCUUUUUAUUCUGUUUUGUUUCCUUUUCUAAAAGUGCUGCUUACAUUACAAAUGGGUUACUGCAUGGUUUGAAGAACCCUCCGUUAGAUCACAGACUGGCUUCACAGGGCUCCAAAGGAGCAAGAUUGAAGAAAAAUAUAGCUGCCUUCCUUUCCCUAAGCCCCCUGCUGGCAGAACUGGAAAUCUACCACUCCACACUCACACUAGGUCCAUUAAUCAUUUUCAUAAGUAAUUUAAAAUUAGCAAUGCUAAUAGUAAAAGAUUUUUCAGAUGACAGUCUCCUAACUCCCUCCCCUAGAGAGUCUUACAGGAGGACCGAGACCUGAAGAGUCCUCGGCUCUACUGGGCUGCCCAAGGCUCUGGCCUGUGCCUGUUGAACCAGCCCCAUGCCUGUGGGAAGUUUGCCUCUGCUCAUCGUCGGACACCACAAGGCUGACCACACUGCAUGACACCAUUCUGAACCCUGCCCCAUGCUCUCACCAUCUGAGUCACCAGCCAGACCAAAUAGCUACUUCCCUGGAAGAUUGACAACCAGCUUCUUACCAAGCUUACCAUACAAGAGCCUUCCCAGAUUGCUUUGCACACAUCUUGGUCACAUACGUGGCCAUUCAGCACACCUGUGGUCCAUUGGUUUCUCCUGGUGCAGGGUGUAUGUCCAACACAACCCCUUUCUGCUGGACUUGGAGGAAUUUGACCACUGUUCCCUCUCUCCCUGAUGACCUUUCAAGCCAUAGUGUUGUUGAUCCCGUAUAUAUGGAGUAGGUAUACAUAUUCCAUCUGCAUUUUAAGUCUCUGUCUUCUCCUAAGAACAGUCAUCAGUAAACUGAGGAAGUUUCCCAGCCCUAGUGACUAAACCUUCCUACAUUUGCAUAUAGACAGCUGAAGGUCAUUCUUUGCAUGCUUCUCCACUGCUGACCCGCAUUGCACCACAGAUUCACACCUGCUCUUCACAACUCUUCACAGAACAUUGUGCACACAUCAUGAGUGAAGUCAGCUCCGUGGAAUGCCCUGGAUCCCCGAGAGUCAUUAGAAGCACUGUUCCUAAGGGAAGACGAACUCCAAUCCUAAACCAAUAGGAGCCAGAUCUCCUGUGGUCGGCUGUGGUUUCCUCUGGGCCGGGGAGAGUGCCACGGAAACAACGAACCCUGUCUAGUUUUGACUCUGCUGGAGCAUAGUGCACCCUGCGUCUUCUCCUGAGAUGAUGGGCUGUGAGGAGCUUACCCGGAGGCUAGCAAAAGAGACUUCCACAGGCCUCAGCCUCCUGUAGCCAAUGGCUUGCUCAGACCACAUAUAUUACCUUGUGCGGUUUCGCUCAUCAAGGGGAUUCCCGUCUUCAGCAGAACACAGCCUCGAGUCGUCCCUGGCUCCUCCAGAAAAGCAAGGGCACACAUCCUGCCCCCAGAAGAACUCAAGGUGUCCCGGGUAACAUGCCAACCAGAUAGGCGCUGUGGGGGUGGCUCCGAUGGAGGAAACCAAAACGGUUCUGAUUAGCAAGAGAGCCACCCAGUUCUUCAUGACCCAAACGAAGAGCCCUGCAACUCUCUGUCUCUGAAGAUUUCUCACCAACCUGUAAUGAGCGUUCUUGGAAGCAUGGGUGUGCUUCUGCUCUGUGACAUCUGGGGAAGAGGAAUGCAGGCAUCUACAGAAAAGCAUCCGGUUUGCAUGUCUGGAUUUAGCUGAAAGCAUAGGUCCACCAGCGAAAGAAAGGAUGGAGCAAGCGUGAGCAGCCAAUCCUUGUCAUCUCGUAGCACUUUCAUGCCUGUUUUUGUUGCCUUAUAUCAUAAGGAUAUCUGGUGACUUCUAUGGGAACCACAAGGACUUCAUCUUUCUAUUAUCUACUCUGCCUUCCACCACAGUCACUGGUCGACAAGUGACCAAUUAAAAGGACCAUCCUGCUCAUCCAGGAACAAGUGACAGAGGUCUAAGGUGUGUAAGGAAGAAGACAGAGGCGGCAGAGAUGGACAACUGCUGGCUAAGCUUGGUGACAAACAGGCCUGAAGAUGAAGGUUGAGUGCCAAUGGUCUAUCUCCCAAGUCUUGCUGCAAAGCUGUCCUUCUAGUUAAGGUAAAACAAAUAAAAUGUAAUGUGUGCUAUUUCCACAUUGAAAUAGGUUAGAUACUAGGAAGAAAUGACCUGGAGACCAAUAUCAAAGAAGGAGAGUAUAAAUGGUAUACUUAAUGUCUACAUGUAUGUCUGUGUGUAAUGAGUGUGUGUGUAAUUGUAUGAAUUUGUGUGUCUAUGUACAUACUUGGUGAAUGUCUGUGAUUGUGUGAGUAUGUAUCUACCUGCGAGUGAUUGUGUGAAUGUGUGUAUUUCAAUCCUGGGCCCAGGAUUGCAUACUUCCUGGUGGAGUCACAAACUCAUACCUUCAUUAGAAAGCCAAGCUAGUCCCCAGCCCCCUGUGCAUUCGUGUGUGUGUGUGUGUGUGUGUGUGUGUGUGUGUGUGUGUGUGUGUGCGCGCUGUUGGCUGCAUCCUGCUGUGUGGCACUGAGGGACAGACAACUUUGCCAGGCCUGUUUUGUAAACAAAUCUGUCAGCCUAGCGUUUUUCAGCCCUCUGUACAUUGGUUCUGCUUUUCCCACCAACAUAGAGACAUUUCGAAGCUUGUUUCCUUUUAGAAAUAGACAAGAAAAUUUGCACAUGACUGAAAUAGGCAGUCUACCCCAUAGAAGUCUUUGGGUUGUCACAAUUUUAAGCUUAGACCAUGAAUUCUGAAAGUGAAUUGCAGCUACUCCAGAGCCCCCCACCACCCUGGUCAAUGCUCAGGAGAAAAGGGAAGAACCUUUGCCCUCAGAGCUCCUUCUGGGCCAUAAUGGGAUUAGUCACCUAAGAUGAGAAAGUGUGAUGCAGGUUUCCCCAGAGUGCGUGAGUCAUCCCCUUGAUAGACGAGAGUACGAACUUGAAACAUCUACCGGUAGUCUCUACAUGGUUGAUUUAAUAUCUCAUCCAGGUUCAAGUUUUUAUGGCAGGAAAUGUGUGUGAAUGGUUAAGAUAGGAGUAAAUAAUACUUGAUCUUGUGACUAUAAUACAGGGAGGAACUUUUAAUACCAAAUAAAACUUUGGGUGGGGGAAAGUUCUGUCUUAAAAAUGUAGCACACAUCAGUUUUCCAGAAUCUUGCAUGUAGUUGUUACUCUGUCUUAAGUGAAGCAAAUAGCAGAAUGAGCUCUGUAACUUUCUUGUUAAUACCUUUGGUUUUGGAAGACAUUUUUAAGUAUUUUUCUGUGACCCAACAUGAUAUACAGAACUAUUAAAUGUGGCAGAGGAGGAGAGGGAAAUCAAAUCCAGGGCAUCAAACGUACUAGGUAAGCGCUUGGCUGCCAAGUAGUAAUGAUUCUAUGUGGGACGUUGUUGACCAAGUAGAGAUGUACAUGGCAUUGAAAUACGGGAUGAUACCUAGACCAAGGAGACUCCAAAGUGUCACCUUAGACACCAUACUUUACAGGCACUUGGGAAAGGCAAUUUUAUGGGACAGGAAGGAUGUAGCUGAGGAAGUUCAAAGGGAGAAGAAUUUUGUAAAACUCAAGUAUAUUGCUAGUCAUUGGGACUUCUUCUAGAGGGUGCUUUUCCUUGAAGAAAAAACAGGCACAAGGGAAGAGGGCAUUUUAGAGCUCCCACCAACCCUGCUCAUGCUUCCCCAGGAUGAAUGGACUGCAGAGAUUAAGGUGUCUAGUUCCUUAUGCAUUUGCAGCCUCUGCUGGCUGGGCUCUGUUGUCACUGAGCAAGGAUAUAGAUGUGAAGGCCCAGACUUGAGCCCCCUUCCUCCACCCUGCUUGAAAACGGGUCCUCUGAAUCCUUCUGCUUCUCAAAUGUAGUGUCUCAAAUCCAGCAGGUAAAGUUUGUAAGACACAUGUCACUGUGGACAGACUGACCUGUUCAUUCUAGACUUGUGUUAGCACUUCAUUAUUAGAAAUUUCAGUUAAAGAUUGUAGAAAACUAUGUUUGCAAGUGACAUGUUCAAGAAAUGGCCUCGUUAGGACCGCUCUGUGGCUUUUAGGCAGGUCCCUGGUGCUCUUUCACUGGAGGCGCACCUCCUUGGAGGUAGCUGGAGAACAAGUCAAGAUCAAGGUCCCAUGACUUGGAGUGCUGUGUCCACUAUCCACUGAUAGUGGCUCAGCUUAGGAAAGUCCUCAAGCUCCCUGGGUUCCCUUACCUGUAGGAUGGGGGCAGAGGUAAUAGACCUUAGCCUGUAAGGUUUCUCUGAGAAUAGCUUGGGUAGUGCCUGAGCCAGGCCUGUGUGUCACAGACAAUUAAUCUGGUCCAAAUAGAUUGGGUGACCUUCGUAAGAGCAGGUGAGCAAAAGGAGCUGGAACCCAGCUCUGGCUUCCUACCUGCAUGAGGCCACUGUGUCUCCUGUCCAUAAAAAUGCUGUGAAGAGUCCCGAGUGUUUGCAUUAUCUAAAGGGGAACUUUGAGCCAAUGUAAGUUUGGGGAGCACUUUUGUAUUGGGGUUUAGUUUGUUUGAAGAUGGUGGACCCUAUACACUUGAACAUUUCAUGUCCACAACGAUGCAAAAGUGACAACGAGACCUGGAUCAUCCUUGGAAUUCAGUCACAUUCUGAGUGUCCAGUCUACCCAGGUGAGCAUACCUCUCAAGGACUGCAGUGACCUUCAAAGCUGCUUUGUGCUUGGUGCAUGCUCUUUGCCCCUCCUUUGCUUCUGCUUAGUUGGACUUUGUUUUCCCUUUCUCCUAAGACUGCCCUGGUCAGCAAUCGGAGACAGGCCAGGACCAGCCACACAGCCGUUGAGAUCUGAGCCCAGCAUGUGUUCUACACUGUGUAGAGAGAAGCUUCCUGUUCCAAGAGGGGAAAUGAGAUAUUUGAGCAUUUGGGCCAUCCUCAGAUGCUUUUCCUUUCACCAGUGCAGUAGUGAUAGAAUUUCUAAAACUGUGGCUGUCUCUCCAUGUCCUUCUCUUUCCCUGAGGGCAUUCAUUGGGUCUCACGGAUGAGGGCAGAAGGGGUGAAGAAUGGUUUGGUCUAGUGAGUAUAUUCUCACCUCCAAUUAUAGAGCCUUUUGACGUGCCCUGACUUAUAAAUUAUAUUUACAUUAUGGAAAUGGUCCCUGUGCUCUUUAGCAAUACCAGUGUGAUAGAUAGCCUGGGAAUUAGCCCCACAGAAGAGCAGCUUGCCUAGAGUGUAUGAAGCCCUGAGUUCAAUCUCCAGUGCAAAAGCAAACAAGCUACAACAAAACCGUUUGUAAAACAAAAACAGUAUGUCCCAUCUUAAGUAUCCGAAAAUGAGGAAGAAAAGAGUCAGGGCAAACAUCCAAAGGCAUGCAGGUCAGAUGUGGUCUGUCUCCAUCAGCAACGGCCUACAGCAGACACUUGUGUUCCCUGCUCUGUGACUCACAGCCCCUCCCCACACCCAUCCCUGACACCUUCACCCAAAGUGAAGGCAAGACAAGCUCUUAAGCAAACGCUGCCCUUUCACCAGCAUGGCCCCAUAGUCUGCUCAGAACAAGCCUUCACCAGGAAUCGGAGCAGUUUUCCUUCCCUCCCCAUUUUGUCAGGUCGCCAAAAUCUCCCACUCUCUUUUAUGUUAAAUACAUUAAUACGUUUGUCAAAAUACAAAAUGUCAUAUUGUUGUCAGCUACAAAUAAUGCCAGUGAUACAAAUAAUAGUGUCAGGUGACAGGUGGACUGCUGUUAAAUGACUGUCCCCUCAGAUAGGUCUGAAAACCCCAUUCACAGACCUAGGGGAUGGCAGUGGAGUCUGGCGAAUGUCAUCUGAGAGGAAAGAGGAUUUCCAUGUUUGAAAUUUGGGGACAAAAACAACUUUCUCUUCCCUGCAAGGGUUAAUUCUCUAGCCAGCUUCAGAUUGGUUCUCUUGAAUCUUAAAAUUACUUUUCUGGUCACGCGCUCAGAAGGUCUACGAGUCUGUGAAUCACCCCCACCCCCACCCCAUGCUAUUCUCUUUGGCUGUCUUAAUUACACAGGGGUUGGGAAACCAAAUUAAAAUUAGGCGUGGCUGGGUAAACAGCGACUGCAUUGCAAGCUUUUAGCUUCACUGCUGGGGUGGUUUUUCCUCCCUCUGUAGCUUUCCUUUUCACUUCUUAUUUUUCUAAAGGAAAUAGCACAAGGUCUUUUGGAAAUACUCACAGGAAGUGGUCGCUGGAUGCUGGUUACUCACCAGCCCCGGAGUCCUGACAGGUGGCAGGUGUGUCUUCCUCUCCUGAUUUAUGUGAAAAUAGUCCCCAGAGGGGCAGGUGAAGGGCAGGCCUGGUGCACAGCCCAAAGGGCUUUUUGUCCACCAAGUGGCUUUCAUGAUGAGACUGGUCAUUGCAUGUCAUCUGGAGGGAGGGUGACUCAGGGAGCUGGGCUGGGGUCGGUGCACACAUGUCUUAGCUACUCUGGAGUUUCUGCUCAGUUCUCAGAGUGCCGGCUGUCUCCUAAAAAUGAUCCCUCCCUCCCACCGCCAACAGCCGUUCUUCCUCAGUGAGUCACUUCCAGAAAUGAAUAGCCGCAGAUUUUGGAAUGAGCAUUGUGAAAUCCCUCGUUUAUAAUGGCAGGUUUUCAGUUGGUGGCUUGAUCAGACAGUUUCUCAAGAUCAAAAUGAGACCUUGUCUUUAAAAAGAAAAAAAAUGGAAAAAAAAAAAAACAGAAAGUAAAUCCCUUGGAUUCAGAAAGCAAAAGUCUCCCACUGAAGAACUGUCAGAGCUGAUCUAGCCACCUCUGUAUCAAGUUGUGUGUCCUUAUAUUUGCCUGCAUGGAUGAGGAUUUGGAAUUACCGACCUCUCGCCAGUACUAGCUGGUGAUUUCCGAUGCAGAAGGUCACUAACGACAUGAAACGGCCCUCUUCUGGGGCAAGACCAGCCUGUGCUUGGGGAUCCUUGGGUGACCGAUCAACCGUGAGUAUGUGCGACAACGGUUUCUGGUUCUCAUUGAAUCUUGCCUAGAAACUUCUAAAUGGCAUUCUAUCUAAGGAAGAGCUUCUAAGAACUGUCUGUGCUAGUGUAUUUGUAAUACAUUUCACUUAUCAUGGAAAGUACUGUGGGUGUGAUCAUAACUACAAAACCAAACAUAACCUAUGGACAACUAUGGAAACUAAGUAUUCAGAUUUCUUUUGACCUUUAUAGCAUACAGAUAAAAAUGCAGUUUUGGUGUACUAAGUGCUUCUUUAUUAUUUAAAGCAUAAUAGGAAAUAGAUAAGUAUAUUGUAGGGAAAAAAAAAAACGAAAGAUGCGCAUUUGUGGCAAGUGAUGUAAUAUUUAUGUGAGAGAGACUUGUGAGUCCUGAUACCCUGAUUGUAUUCCAGUGCUAGCAAAUGAGCUUCACUCAUAAGAGAGCUUCGCUCUCAGAAGAGAGCGAAGAUGGUCUGCUGAACCUGUGUGAAAGCAGAGGCUGAGAGAAGAUGGCCAUGAGGCUGUAUAUACAGUCUGCCUCUGUCUCCUAAUCACAUCCUCAAAUUACAUCCUGGGGGUGCUUGAUGGGCGAUUCUGUGGGUGUUCUCAUUCUCCCACCAGAGGGCUGAGUAGAAGGUAGAGUCGGUGUGUCUAUUUAUUGAGUGGACUGAGUUAUGACCCAGUGCCUUAGAGUUACAGUUAUCAGUCUGUUCUGGAUGCUGAACCCCCUUGAGAUUCUGGUCAAGCCCAUGAAUUCCUUUGACUGCAUCGAUACACAACAUUUGGUUGUCCUUGGAGACAUCCAUAGACACAGAAAAGCCUCUGUGAUGUGCCAGGUGUAGGAGGUUGAGCUGGACCCUGGAGCCUUACCCUGGCUGGGCUGGUAGGCUUCCUAAAGAAUUGCUGUUAAGAGCAAGAAAUAACCAGGCCACAAGUCACUCCAUGAGGCUUCUGGGAGGAGAUCAGAGCCAGAGAAAAGGACAAAGGAUGGAGGACAUGUGACUACCAAUAAAUAUUAGAAAGUGCUUCUUGUUAGGAGUGUCACAUGUGGGGCCUGGAACCCUGUCUAUUUAGCCAGGUAACUAUUUAGUCAGGUAAUUAUGAGUUCAGGAUAGAGACCUAAAGACUCAUAGUAAGCAACUUUGACUAGUUUUUCUCAAAUUAAUUUUUCCUCAUCUUUUUUUACACCAUAAAAUCGGGAAGUCUUUCUCUCCUUCCCUCCCUCUUUUGUUAGUUUUUCCAUGGUGUAUGCCCCAAAUGAGGUAGGAGCACAAGGAUUUAACUCCUGACACUCAUAGAAAGUCAGAGAGAGAGUUACACUCCUGGGUAAGCGUGUGAGGACGUGUUGAAUGCAAAAGGAACAAUGUUUGAAAAAAAUCCAGUCUUUAUUGUUCAUUAGCUCCAUUGAAUACCUUCAGAGCCAUGGCGGAAAAGGAAGACGACAUGAAUCUUGAGUGUGUUAAAAGGAGUGUAACAUGAAGGCUAAAGGAUGGGUUUGACAUUAGUCAGAGCCACUGUACUCAGUUUGAGUCAUGCUCGAAGACAGAUGUUGGGCGAUUGUGAAGUACAGAUACCCAAUCAACAGAAUUGCACACCCUUCAAGGAAAAGAUAAGAAACAGAGGGUUUUAGUCGGAAGAAAAGGGAGGAUCUGUUGCUGACGGUCAUAUAUACUGACUGCUUGCUUUCUCGUCUCCUUGGGCCUCCAUGCUGCCCAUUUCCCUUCACGUGCAGCACAGUGCAUAGCUGCUGGUUUAGGAAUGCUUGUAACCCUUUAGUGAGAGCCUCACUGGGAGUAAAUACACCCAGAUAAAUCCAAAGAGCUCUUGCUAUGAUGUAGGAAUAAUUAAUGCGUCUUCUGGCUGUGGUAAAUAGGUAAGGUGAUAAAAUAGUUGAGCUGAGGGAUGCGAUGAAAUCUUAAGUGGGAAUUUUCUCAGAGUGGAAGAAAGUAAGUAACUAUUUUGAGUGGUAGGACAUUUAUUCUUCCAACAGUCACUCAGGGCCAAUUGUAGUAGACAAGUACAAAAGGAAGACUAUGGUGCUUGGUUACACUGCUGUGGGACAUAAAGCAGCAUGUGGUGGGGGCUUGUGACAUUCAACCACCACCCUGUGUGACCUCCUGAUGGAGUUGAAGUCCAGAAUGCCUCCUUAAAGGGCAGCCGUUGAGGUUAGCAAGAUGGAGUAAGUGGUGAGCCAUCCCCAUGAGGACCUGGUACAUAGGGGCACAGACCUAGGAGGUGUGCCAGAAGGCAUGGGUCCCAAAAGGAAUGAUGAGAGCAGACACUGGGGAAGCCCUUGUUUACACAAGACAAGUGUGCCACAAGUGGUGGCCUGAUGAUUUCCAAGAGGGUGGCCUGGUGGGAUGUACAACUUAGACAGAUAACCAGGCAGCAGUGAAGAGGACUUCAUUUGGAGUUUGUGCAGGUAAAUGGCUAAGGGAAGACAGGUCAGGCAGGGUAAAGAGACUCCUGAUGUGUAAGUAGGGGAUUCCCAAGAGAGCAAGCAGUAAGCAGAUGGGUAAGGCAAAAUUGGCGCAGUGGCCUAGUUGCUGUCCAGCAUCACUCACUGUGGAACCGUGGAACGAAAUGCCAGAGGGGAAUCCAGGCCCAGGGGAAGGAACAGGUGGCAUUGGCGUGGCAGAGCACACAAUGACUAGGUAAACGGAGACGUGAGAGAAAGAGUGAGUGGGAAGUCAGUUAACAGACAUGGACUUUGAAUUGGGUGAACAAACAAUUCAAAUGGUCUUGACUGGUAUGAACACCCAUUUCCAAAGCAAUAGUCAUUCUCUUGUCUUUUUUUUUUUUUU